UCGUAUCAAAUAUAAACGAUAUUUGUGCUACAAUUUAUAAAUUUUGCUUAAUUAAUACGUUAUUUGUUCGCAAGAUAUUAUUAUUAAACAAUACUUUUGAAGUUUUUUUACUUUUUUGUUGAUCAAUUAUUUGAGUGUUAAAUUUGCCGGUAUAUAUCUGGAACAGGAAUUGAUGUUUACACUCCUUCCAUGCUCGAUGUGUUUCGACGUGUCUCGAUCUGUUGUAAACUCUCGAAUAUAUCCCUUCCCCAAUUUGUAUUUGUGCAACGACAUCACAAUGCAAAAAAAUUGUAACCGCUAGAAUUAUCAAAAAGCUUCGCAUCGACAAAAUCGAGGUGGCGGAAGACCGGUCCUCGAAGAUUGGAGGCGUCGUCCUCGCCGAUGGCCCCGCGGAUUGUCGCCCGCUUCGACCGCCGCUCGACGACGCGCACGGCUCGUCCGACCAACCCGUCUGUCCUCGAGACAUCCUGGAACCGUACAUGGAACAAGAAAAGGAAUUCGCGUUUACAAGGAUGUGGAAGAGAAGGGAGAGAAUCCACAGGGGCGUACGAGGUCACGGAGGAGACGAGUUAAACAGCAUCCAACAUCCUUCUCUCCUCCUCCGCAUAUAUGCGCGCCGAGGCUAUUUUCCCUCGGAAUGCAUCGAGCGGCAAAUGUUCUCCUUUUCUUGCUCCAGUAUGGGGGACGAUUGUUCAGCACGGCGAAAAUUCGGCGAUUCCCCGAAGGUAGCGCGGGAAAUUCAAUUUGCUCGCGUAUCACGUCUCCCCGCCCGAUUUAUCGCCCGUUUCUGAAUGAAUUCUGAGUGGAACGAGCGAGACCGAGUUGCGAGGCGCGUGCCGCCUAGAAUUAACGUCACGCGACAACCACGUUUUCUCGCCUCUCUACAGUAUUGCGUGUACUACUUCCUUUCCUUCUGAAAACUUAUUUUUAAGUAAACGUUCUACCAAUGUGUGGCGAUGCGGGUAUAACACGAUGAUAUCUAUUUGUUUUUAGGA
Long non-coding RNA from Apis laboriosa (Himalayan honeybee), 995 nucleotides. RefSeq lists it as uncharacterized. The transcript has 4 exons. The record is from RefSeq and is a predicted model, not a curated record. Lineage: Eukaryota; Metazoa; Arthropoda; Insecta; Hymenoptera; Apidae.